UCCGGUUUGACACCGGCAGUCUCACUAGAGUCCCCGCCAUGACGCGCUGGCAACUAGCGAUAAGGGUUGCGCUCGUUAAGGGACUUAACCCGACACUUCACAGCACGAGCUGACGACAGCCAUGCAGCACCUGUGCACGUUCCACCCGAAGGCGUGGCUCUGCUUUCACAGAGUUAAUCCGUGCAUGUCAAACCCUGGUAAGGUUCUUCGCGUUGCUUCGAAUUAAGCAACAUGCUCCACCGCUUGUGUGAGCCCCCGUCAAUUCCUUUGAGUUUUAGCCUUGCGACCGUACUCCCCAGGCGGUGCACUUAACAAUUUCUCUCCGACCGCGAUGCCGUCAGAGACACCGCGAUCUAGUGCACAUCGUUUAGGGCGUGGACUAC
This 383-nucleotide unclassified non-coding RNA is filed under the name uncultured Phycisphaeraceae bacterium. RNAcentral's name for it is "contains 16S-23S intergenic spacer region". The record is from RNAcentral. Lineage: Bacteria; Pseudomonadati; Planctomycetota; Phycisphaerae; Phycisphaerales; Phycisphaeraceae.